RNAcentral lists this ribosomal RNA (339 nucleotides) under uncultured fungus. Its description in RNAcentral is "SSU rRNA". It matches the Rfam family "Eukaryotic small subunit ribosomal RNA", at positions 21 to 371 of the family's 1831-position model. The record is from RNAcentral. Lineage: Eukaryota; Fungi.
UGUAGUCAUAUGCUUGUCUCAAAGAUUAAGCCAUGCAUGUCUAAGUAUAAGCAACUUUGUACUGUGAAACUGCGAAUGGCUCAUUAAAUCAGUUAUAGUUUAUUUGAUGGUUUUUGCUACAUGGAUAACUGUGGUAAUUCUAGAGCUAAUACAUGCAUUCAAGCCCCGACUUCUGGAAGGGGUGUAUUUAUUAGAUAAAAAUCAACUUUGUUGGUGAAUCAUGAUAACUUCUCGGACCGCAUGGCCUCGUGCUGGCGGUGCUUCAUUCAAAUAUCUGCCCUAUCAACUGUCGAUGGUAGGAUAGAGGCCUACCAUGGUUGCAACGGGUAACGGGGAAUG